UUUCCGUAGGUGAACCUGCGGAAGGAUCAUUAUCCAUCUCAAACCAGGUGCGUUCGCGGCCCCCGGGGGGUUCCUCCCGGAUGGUAGGGCUAACACCCUCACGCGCCGCCUGCCUGCACCCUCUUUGUACGAGUACCUUCCGUUCCCCUUCGGCGGGGCCACCUGCCGCGGGAACCAAAACAAAACCUAUUUUGCAUCUAACAUUACCUGUUCUGAAACAAAUAAUCGUUAAAACUUUCAACAAUGGAUCUCUUGGUUCUG
Molecule: unclassified non-coding RNA, 261 nt
Filed under: plant metagenome
Description: partial contains small subunit ribosomal RNA, internal transcribed spacer 1, and 5.8S ribosomal RNA
Source: RNAcentral